RNAcentral lists this ribosomal RNA (408 nucleotides) under uncultured bacterium. RNAcentral's name for it is "partial 16S ribosomal RNA". It matches the Rfam family "Bacterial small subunit ribosomal RNA", at positions 28 to 526 of the family's 1533-position model. The record is from RNAcentral.
GACGAACGCUGGCGGCGUGCUUAACACAUGCAAGUCGAACGAAGUGGCGAACGGGUGAGUAACGCGUAAUCAACCUGCCCUUCAGAGGGGGACAACAGUUGGAAACGACUGCUAAUACCGCAUACUGAAGGAGGGGAUUGCGUCUGAUUCGCUAGUUGGGGGGGUAACGGGCCACCAAGGCGAUGAUCAGUAGCCGGUCUGGGAGGAUGAACGGCCACAUUGGGACUGGGACACGGCCCAGACUCCUACGGGAGGCAGCAGUGGGGAAUCUUCCGCAAUGGACGAAAGUCUGACGGAGCAACGCCGCGGGAGUGAAGAAGGGUUUCGGGUUGUAAAGCUCUGUUAAUCAGGAAGCGGUACCUGAAUAGAAAGCCACGGCUAACUACGUGCCAGCAGCCGCGGUAAUUC